UUCUUCCGUAGGUGAACCUGCGGAAGGAUCAUUACUGAGUGAGGGUCCCUCGGGGCCCAACCUCCCACCCGUGUAUACCGUACCUUGUUGCUUCGGCGAGCCCGCCCCCCUUCCUUAGGGGUGGCACAGCGCUCGCCGGAGACACCAACGUGAACACUGUCUGAAGUUUUGUCGUCUGAGUCGAUUGUAUCGCAAUCAGUUAAAACUUUCAACAAUGGAUCUCUUGGUUCCGGCAUCGAUGAAGAACGCAGCGAAAUGCGAUAAUUAAUGUGAAUUGCAGAAUUCAGUGAAUCAUCGAGUCUUUGAACGCACAUUGCACCCCCUGGUAUUCCGGGGGGUAUGCCUGUCCGAGCGUCAUUGCUGCCCUCAAGCACGGCUUGUGUGUUGGGUCGUCGUCCCCCCCGGGGGACGGGCCCGAAAGGCAGCGGCGGCACCGCGUCCGGUCCUCGAGCGUAUGGGGCUUUGUCACCCGCUCUUGUAGGCCCGGCCGGCUGCUGGCCGACGCUGAAAAGCAACCAAUCUAUUUCAUCAGGUUGACCUCGGAUCAGGUAGGGAUACCCGCUGAACUUAAGCAUAUCAAUAAGCGGAGGAAAGU
RNAcentral lists this ribosomal RNA (595 nucleotides) under Aspergillus sp. BK2. RNAcentral describes it as "eukaryotic LSU rRNA". The stretch from base 204 to 357 matches the Rfam family "5.8S ribosomal RNA". The record is from RNAcentral. Lineage: Eukaryota; Fungi; Ascomycota; Eurotiomycetes; Eurotiales; Aspergillaceae.